Molecule: ribosomal RNA, 137 nt
Filed under: uncultured eukaryote
Lineage: Eukaryota
Description: partial 18S ribosomal RNA
Rfam family: Eukaryotic small subunit ribosomal RNA
Source: RNAcentral
UGGUGGAGCGAUUUGUCUGGUUAAUUCCGAUAACGAACGAGACUCUAGCCUAUUAAAUAGUUCGCCGAUUUUUCGAGUCGGCGUCAACUUCUUAGAGGGACAAGUGUCGUAUAGGCACUCGAGAUUGAGCAAUAACA